AUUUAUUAAAGGACAUCUUAAUAGAGAGGAAGUAGAAGUUGGGGUAACUUCACAAAAAUAACAGAAAUCUUCUGUCAGUUCCUGCCAAGUUGAACUCUCAGCUUUAUUUCUGUAGUGAGCACCGCUAUUGGAGAAGCAGUUAACAACCGCAUUCGAGAAAGGAAAGCACAGCAAUGACCUCCUUCCCUUUAUGCCUGUUUGUCUGCCUGAUGAUGGUCCAGGUCAUUGUCGCUCCUGACCCAGAAGAACGCUAUGCAGUGUUUCUUAAACAGCAUGUUAUUCAAGACAUGAAUAAGGACGACUGCUUAAAAGUGAUAAAGAAAAGAAGAAUAACAGAUGGCAACGAACUUAAAGAAAAGAACUCAUUUAUCAUUGCCACAGAAGAUGAGGUCAAAGCCAUUUGUAAGGACAUUUCAGAAAAAACAAAUCCCAGACACGAAAAAACACGAAGUAAAAAAAAAUUCAAGGUUAUUGUGUGUACGCUAAAAGGCGAGGAGUAUGAGGGCAUCUUGCAUGAUUACCAAACACUUGAAGUAAAAUGUGAUAAAAAUUUACCUGUGCAUUUUUACACACAGUUUCAUUCCGGACAAUAAUUCCACUCCUCAAAUAUCUGAGAAAGCAGAUAUUAUUCUAUAAUUUAUGCCACAAUACAUCAUAUCCCUGUGGGCAUUGUUAUGAUCCUUAAGCUUGAUUAGUUUUCCUGACUUGGUACGCUUAUCUGUUUCAUUGCUUUUAAAUCCCAAAA
Long non-coding RNA from Cyprinodon tularosa, 745 nucleotides. RefSeq lists it as uncharacterized. The record is from RefSeq and is a predicted model, not a curated record. NCBI's taxonomy places the organism in Eukaryota, Metazoa, Chordata, Actinopteri, Cyprinodontiformes, Cyprinodontidae. The transcript has 3 exons.